Molecule: ribosomal RNA, 274 nt
Filed under: uncultured bacterium
Lineage: Bacteria
Description: partial 16S ribosomal RNA
Rfam family: Bacterial small subunit ribosomal RNA
Source: RNAcentral
AUACGGAGGGUGCAAGCGUUGUUCGGAAUCACUGGGCGUAAAGAGCAUGUAGGCGGUCUGUUAAGUCUGGUGUGAAAGCCCGGGGCUCAACCCCGGAAGUGCAUUGGAUACUGGCAGACUUGAGUAUGUGAGAGGAAAGCGGAAUUCCGAGUGUAGGAGUGAAAUCCGUAGAUAUUCGGAGGAACACCAGUGGCGAAGGCGGCUUUCUGGACCAAUACUGACGCUGAGAUGCGAAAGCGUGGGGAGCAAACAGAAUUAGAAACCCGAGUAGUCC